AUUGUUCAACGGCCGCGGUAUCCUAACCGUGCGAAGGUAGCGUAAUCACUUGUUCUUUAAAUGAGGACUAGUAUGAACGGCUCCACGAAGGCUAUACUGUCUCCCUUAUCUAAUCAGUUAAACUAAUCUCCCCGUGAAGAAGCGGGGAUUCACAUAUAAGACGAGAAGACCCUAUGGAGCUUAAAACACCUCUAAACAUUUGACCUCCACACUACUAUUUUCAGAAAUCUUCACAAAGCCCGUCAUUUUGUUUUAAGUUUUAGGUUGGGGUGACCGCGGAGAAUAACCUAACCUCCACGUAGAAAGAACUUUCUUUUCUAAGCAAAAAGCUACAUCUUUAUGCAUCAACAUAUUGACCUAAUUGACCCAAUUAUUUGAUCAACGA
This 385-nucleotide ribosomal RNA is filed under the name Allobates sumtuosus. RNAcentral describes it as "partial 16S ribosomal RNA". It matches the Rfam family "Archaeal large subunit ribosomal RNA", at positions 1996 to 2467 of the family's 2987-position model. Lineage: Eukaryota; Metazoa; Chordata; Amphibia; Anura; Aromobatidae. The record is from RNAcentral.